This is a long non-coding RNA of Hevea brasiliensis (rubber tree), 1241 nucleotides long. RefSeq lists it as uncharacterized. The record is from RefSeq and is a predicted model, not a curated record. NCBI's taxonomy places the organism in Eukaryota, Viridiplantae, Streptophyta, Magnoliopsida, Malpighiales, Euphorbiaceae. The transcript is spliced from 3 exons.
UUCGAGACGAAAUUUAUUUAAGGGGGAGAGAAUUGUAACACCCCUAUGUUCGGUAGUACGUACUACUGUUCCGGUGACCAGUGUUGUCCGGACAGCUAGGAUGCCUAGAACUACACUUCGAUAUGAGUGAGGAGACAUAAAAUAAUGAAAUGCAAGAAAAGAAAAUACAAGAAAAACAAAGAAAAAAUAAUAGCAAAGAAAUAUAACCAAGUUAAGCGAGCUGAGAACCCUAGUGAUGGGUGACCGCACCGGGAAGUCACGGCGUGGACCGUUGACUAGCCCUGGACCGCGGGAACCCUAGAAAAUAUUUUUAGGAAUUAAAUAGACCCCCUAUUGAAGUAUAAAUAUCAUUAGAAAUAUUAAAUAAAAAUUAAAUAAUUAGUAUAAAGAAAAGUGGGAAAUCGAAAAACGGACAAAACCCAGUGUUACCGAAAAAUCGGGAAUGCAACCCGAACUGGGGCAUUGCAGUCAUUUGACACCCCGAGUUAUCUUUUGACCUAAAUGUCCAUUAAAAAUAAAUAAUAUUACACUUGGAAAAUAUAAUGAAAAAUUAAUUUAGGGGUACCUAAUAUAAAUAGCAAAAAUGGAGUUCAAAUUAGGUAAUUAACAUAUUUAAACAUAUAAAAUAAUUGAUUUUAUGUAAGUGGAGCACUAUGGGGAUUAAAUAAAUAUUAUGUGGGACACUUAAGAGCUAAAAUGGGCAGAAUAUUUCAUCUUCUUCAACCUUUCCAAAGGGCAGCCGAAACCAAGAAUGGAGUUCCUCCAUGGAUGCAUGGGUUGAAGCUUCAUGCAAGCUUGAUCUAAGCCACUUUCCAUGCACCUUCUUUCAUUAAAGUUAAUCCUCAUACCAUGGGCAGUAGAUAGGCAACAAGAAAACCAAGUAUUGGAGAGGUUUUGAAGAAUUUCCAAAGUGUUAGCAAAGACUCAGGGAAAGGGAAGGAAAUACUGAGUUAAGACCAGGAGACAGUUAUCAGAGGUAGACAGACGGACAGGGCAGCAGACUAGGCUGCUAAUACAUCCAGCGAGAGAUUAUCGGGUAUAUUGAGUAUACCACAUUUUGCAUUUUGUAUUAUAAUGUAUGUACACUAUAUGUAUAUAUUGUUUUUGGUUUUGAGCAGUUGUAAAUUAAAAUUGUACACUGAAGUUGUAAAGUAAAUUAUGAGAUAUUUUGGCUUGAAAAUUUUGUACUGUAUUUCUUUAUCUCAGUCUUUGAAAAAUUACUGUAGAUUUGAAUUGAGAAA